Molecule: ribosomal RNA, 343 nt
Filed under: Klebsiella quasipneumoniae subsp. similipneumoniae
Lineage: Bacteria; Pseudomonadati; Pseudomonadota; Gammaproteobacteria; Enterobacterales; Enterobacteriaceae
Description: partial 23S ribosomal RNA
Rfam family: Bacterial large subunit ribosomal RNA
Source: RNAcentral
AAGUACCCCGAGGAAAAGAAAUCAACCGAGAUUCCCCCAGUAGCGGCGAGCGAACGGGGAGCAGCCCAGAGUCUGAAUCAGCUUGUGUGUUAGUGGAACGGUCUGGAAAGUCCGACGGUACAGGGUGAUAGUCCCGUACACCAAAAUGCACAGGUUGUGAACUCGAAGAGUAGGGCGGGACACGUGGUAUCCUGUCUGAAUAUGGGGGGACCAUCCUCCAAGGCUAAAUACUCCUGACUGACCGAUAGUGAACCAGUACCGUGAGGGAAAGGCGAAAAGAACCCCGGCGAGGGGAGUGAAAAAGAACCUGAAACCGUGUACGUACAAGCAGUGGGAGCACCUU